RNAcentral lists this ribosomal RNA (275 nucleotides) under Prevotella corporis. RNAcentral describes it as "partial 16S ribosomal RNA". It matches the Rfam family "Bacterial small subunit ribosomal RNA", at positions 502 to 776 of the family's 1533-position model. Lineage: Bacteria; Pseudomonadati; Bacteroidota; Bacteroidia; Bacteroidales; Prevotellaceae. The record is from RNAcentral.
UAUGGUAAUUCAGCCGCGGUAAUACGGAAGGUCCGGGCGUUAUCCGGCUUUAUUGGGUUUAAAGGGAGUGUAGGCGGCCUGUUAAGCGUGUUGUGAAAUGUAGAUGCUCAACAUCUGAACUGCAGCGCGAACUGGCUGGCUUGAGUACACGCAACGUGGGCGGAAUUCAUGGUGUAGCGGUGAAAUGCUUAGAUAUCAUGAGGAACUCCUAUUGCGAAGGCAGCUCACGGGAGUGUCACUGACGCUUAAGCUCGAAGGUGCGGGUAUCAAACAGG